Engraulis encrasicolus (European anchovy) is the source of this 749-nucleotide long non-coding RNA. RefSeq lists it as uncharacterized. The transcript has 3 exons. Lineage: Eukaryota; Metazoa; Chordata; Actinopteri; Clupeiformes; Engraulidae. The record is from RefSeq and is a predicted model, not a curated record.
GGUAACUCAGCGCUUUCUCUGCUUGUGCUCCGCGUUUGAAGUGGAGGUUGAGGACAUCUCCCGUUUGUGAAAGGGGUUGCUCAGGUGGCUACCUCCCCUGUCUCUGGUUUCUCUGCUGCGUGUGGUGGUCACAUUGAGUCGUGGUGCAAAAGCGAGGACUAGGCGUCCGUGACCUAAACCCGAUUGACGGUUGCGUUGGGGCGGAGCGCUCGUUCUCUACUUUCUGUGCUUCAGCGACAUCAUCUGCGGUGGUAUGUAAUUAAUGAUGAUGAUUCCACCGGUAUGUCUUAAAUCAUGUUACUUCUAGUAGUAAUUUGCUUCCACAUUCAUAGGUGCCUGACUCCUUGGUCAGUUGGAAUCCUCAGUCUACCAGCUGAUAGCUGUGCCGCUGUUUUGUCUCUGUCCAAUCCGUACGUCUGCUGCUAACUUUCGCUGCCCACAGCUUUGGGCCAGUGCCCUCUGGACGCGGACGUGUGUGUGUGUGUGUGUGUGUGCGUGCGUGUGUGUGUGAUCGUAGCUUUUUGUUUGUUUCCCUUCUUCUAUUUGUAUUUUGUUUUGUUUGUCUUGUCAAUCCAGUGUUUGGCUCUGUCUGGCCUACUUUAUGCAUGGCUUUUGGCUGCGCUUAUCUGGGUGUGCUGGGUUAAUUUAGCUUGCAGUGCUGUAUUUCUUUUGGGUUUGCAUGGUGUGACUUCUUUUGCUUUGCUUGCUGUGCCAUUAUUUUGCUUGCUUGGCUAUCUGCCUUAUUUGUC